This 64-nucleotide microRNA precursor is filed under the name Myotis lucifugus (little brown bat). RNAcentral's name for it is "mir-9242 microRNA precursor family". It matches the Rfam family "mir-9242 microRNA precursor family". The record is from Rfam by way of RNAcentral. Lineage: Eukaryota; Metazoa; Chordata; Mammalia; Chiroptera; Vespertilionidae.
GGCCUCCCUCUGCGGGGCAACCGAUCUGGGGGCCCCGCGAUUGAUCGCCCUGCAGAGGGAGGCU